This is a long non-coding RNA of Nycticebus coucang (slow loris), 798 nucleotides long. RefSeq lists it as uncharacterized. The transcript has 4 exons. The record is from RefSeq and is a predicted model, not a curated record. NCBI's taxonomy places the organism in Eukaryota, Metazoa, Chordata, Mammalia, Primates, Lorisidae.
AGAAUCGAAGGAUUCGAGUAAAAAUGGCUUAAUAUUUAGCUUCGAUAUUCGAGACUGAGAAAGACAAGUGAGAACGGGCGCAGGGAGUGUCAUCUCGCGGGGGUUACUGCUCUUCUUACUUUAAUAUCAGAGCCUGCCGGCGCAGGGACCAGAGCCCCGACUUCACAGCAACCGACUUUCAGCCAGGAGGUGUUCACGGAACUGCAUGAGCAGUACAGGGAGAUUGAAGAAUAUGUGCGAAAACCUGGGGGACCACUCGUGGACCAUGUCUGUGUCAGGGUCCUUUGCUGUCCCUCCCUCAGAGCCCAGAGGUGGAGGCUUUCAAUGCCUCAUGACCACCACUGAAACCUCACAGCUUGAAAGGCUCACCACUAAAUUCAGCCCAGCCCCAGAGCUGGUAACUGGUCCCCUGAAGAUCUCCAGUUUCUGCUGCUGACCCUGACUGACUUUCAUCUCAGUUCUGACAGGCAGUAGCUGACCUCAAUACUGCUGGUUAAAUGAGCAGGCUGUGUGUGCUGAGUUGUCCCCUGUCAACUGACUUCUGGGAGUCAUGCUUUCAGCAGUCACUGUGGAGGUCCCAUACUGGCCAUCAUCCUGAGAAAGGGACCAGCGUGUUCCCCAGAUCACUGGCAUGGUUGCUUCUAAGACUCUUGGUCCCUUCCCCUUUAUCCCUGAAAGACACGGAUGUUCUGGCCAGGACUCCUCUUCAAAGCCCCCUUGAAGGUUCCUGGCUUCAUAAUGUAGUCUGUUCAGCAGAGACCUCCUACCACCUUUCCCCUAAUAAAGUUCUAUAUCAAG